This 459-nucleotide ribosomal RNA is filed under the name uncultured bacterium. RNAcentral's name for it is "bacterial SSU rRNA". It matches the Rfam family "Bacterial small subunit ribosomal RNA", at positions 28 to 478 of the family's 1533-position model. The record is from RNAcentral.
GAUGAACGCUGGCGGCGUGCCUAACACAUGCAAGUCGAACGGGUGUGGUAUCAGGGAAAAGGGGUUUACUUCUUUGACCAGAUAACACACUAGUGGCGGACGGGUGAGUAACGCGUGGAUAACCUGCCUUAUACAGGGGGAUAACAGGGAGAAAUUCCUGCUAAUACCCCAUAGGUAUGUCUGACGCAUGUUGGACAUAUUAAAGCUUUGGCGGUAUAAGAUGGGUCCGCGUCUGAUUAGCUAGUUGGUGGGGUAAAGGCCCACCAAGGCGACGAUCAGUAGCCGGCUUGAGAGAGUGGACGGCCACAUUGGGACUGAGACACGGCCCAAACUCCUACGGGAGGCAGCAGUGGGGAAUAUUGCACAAUGGGGGAAACCCUGAUGCAGCGACGCCGCGUGAAGGGAGAAGGUCUUCGGAUCGUAAACUUCUAUCAGCAGGGAAGAAGGAAGUGACAGUAC